GGGGAAUUUUCCGCAAUGGGGGCAACCCUGACGGAGCAAUACCGCGUGGGGGAGGAAGGCCCUUGGGUUGUAAACCCCUUUUCUCAGGGAAGAAUAACUGACGGUACCUGAGGAAUCAGCCUCGGCUAACUCCGUGCCAGCAGCCGCGGUAAGACGGAGGAGGCAAGCGUUAUCCGGAAUCAUUGGGCGUAAAGCGUCCGUAGGUGGUCCUUCAAGUCUGCUGUCAAAGCCCAGGGCUCAACCCUGGAGAGGCAGUGGAAACUGAAGGACUUAGAGUGCGGUAGGGGUAGAGGGAAUUCCCGGUGUAGCGGUGAAAUGCGUAGAGAUCGGGAAGAACACCAGUGGCGUAAGCGCUCUACUGGACCGCAACUGACACUGAGGGACGAAAGCUAGGGGAGCGAAUGGGAUUAGAUACCCCAGUAGUC
RNAcentral lists this ribosomal RNA (425 nucleotides) under uncultured cyanobacterium. RNAcentral describes it as "bacterial SSU rRNA". It matches the Rfam family "Bacterial small subunit ribosomal RNA", at positions 356 to 795 of the family's 1533-position model. The record is from RNAcentral. Lineage: Bacteria; Bacillati; Cyanobacteriota.